Molecule: ribosomal RNA, 465 nt
Filed under: uncultured bacterium
Lineage: Bacteria
Description: partial 16S ribosomal RNA
Rfam family: Bacterial small subunit ribosomal RNA
Source: RNAcentral
CCUACGGGUGACAGCAGUGAGGAAUAUUGGUCAAUGCUCGUAAGAGUGACGCAGCGACGCCGCGUGAAUGACGAAGGCCUUCGGGUCGUAAAGUUCUUUCGACAGGGAAGAAAAUGCCUAUAAGUAACUGUGUAUGUGUUGACGGUACCUGUAUAAGCAGCCCCGGCUAACGCCGUGCCAGGAGCCGCGGUGAUACGGAGGGGGCGAGCGUUGUUCGGAGUGACUGGGCGUAAAGAGCACGUAGGCGGUGUUGUAAGUCAUUAGUCAAAGACUAGAGCUCAACUUUAGUAAGGCGAGUGAUACUAUAAUACUAGAGUAUCAGAGAGGAUUGCAGAAUUCGUGGUGUAGCGGUGAAAUGCGUAGAUAUCAGGAGGAAUACCGUUAGCGAAGGCGGCAAUCUGGCUGGAAACUGACGCUGAGGUGCGAAAGCGUGGGUAGCAAACAGGAUUAGAUACCCGGGUAGUC